Sardina pilchardus (European sardine) is the source of this 460-nucleotide long non-coding RNA. RefSeq lists it as uncharacterized. The transcript is spliced from 4 exons. NCBI's taxonomy places the organism in Eukaryota, Metazoa, Chordata, Actinopteri, Clupeiformes, Clupeidae. The record is from RefSeq and is a predicted model, not a curated record.
AGAGACGCUACUGAGUACUACGCAGAGGCUUGGAGACGCUACUGAGUACUACGCAGAGGCUUGGAGGUACAGCUACAAGAGUACUGAAUUGAUGAGUACUGAAUCUACACAAGCAUAGUCCUGCUGUAAAACACUGGAGUACCCGAGCUACUUAAAGUGAACACUCGUACAGAGACACUACUGAGUACUACGCAGAGGCUUGGAGGUAUUUGCUCCUGAUAUCCUGACCAGUACACAUACAGAAAGAAGUGUUCCACUACCAAUUUCCAUUCAUCUGUGGGUCUCCUGACAUGUUGGGAGAGCGAGGAUUUCAAUGUCGGACUGCUCUUGAGUUAACAUAAUCAUCAUGCAGUCCUUGGAGAACGUCGGGGGUUGUGUGUGUGUGUGUGUGUGUGUGUGUGUGUGUGUGUGUGUGUGUGUGUGUGUGUGUGUGUGUGUGUGUGUGUGUGUGUGUGUGUGU